CCCAAUUAACUGAAUUUUAGAUAAACCACAAUAUUAAGUGAAGCUGCUUGUGGCCAACUUUGCUGGAUAUAUCCAUUUACAGUUGGAGAGAAUGAGGGUGAUCUAUAAAAGGAGCUGAGAUGAUCAACUGACGUUUAUCUACAAGGAUUUUUAUCAGGGUUGUUUGAAACCAGGGGUCAGCAAAAUUGUUUCGUGACCAGUCAAGUAGU
This 209-nucleotide long non-coding RNA is filed under the name Homo sapiens (human). Its description in RNAcentral is "non-protein coding lnc-AIPL1-1:2". The record is from RNAcentral. Lineage: Eukaryota; Metazoa; Chordata; Mammalia; Primates; Hominidae.